RNAcentral lists this ribosomal RNA (309 nucleotides) under uncultured archaeon. RNAcentral's name for it is "bacterial SSU rRNA". It matches the Rfam family "Archaeal small subunit ribosomal RNA", at positions 526 to 834 of the family's 1478-position model. The record is from RNAcentral.
UUGUUUGAUAAAUUUCUUGUGAAAUCGUCAGGCUUAACUUGACGACGUGCGGGAAAGACUGUCAAGCUUGGAACCGGGAGGAGUCAGAGGUAUUUCUUGGGGAGCGGUAAAAUGCUAUAAUCCUUGAAAGACCACCUGUGGCGAAGGCGUCUGACUAGAACGGAUUCGACGGUGAGGGACGAAAGCCAGGGGAGCGAUCCGGAUUAGAUACCCGAGUAGUCCUGGCUGUAAACUCUGCGAGCUAGGUGUUGCACAUUCUUCGAGAGUGUGCAGUAUCGUAGCGAAGGCGUUAAGCUCGCCGCCUGGGAA